This is a long non-coding RNA of Gavialis gangeticus (Gharial), 1670 nucleotides long. RefSeq lists it as uncharacterized. The transcript has 3 exons. NCBI's taxonomy places the organism in Eukaryota, Metazoa, Chordata, Crocodylia, Gavialidae. The record is from RefSeq and is a predicted model, not a curated record.
AGGAAGGAAACUGAGUUGAUGAAAGAGGCUUGAGUAAAAGAAAAGUUGUUCCAAGUUAUUGAAAGAGUAAAUACUGGAAGAGAAGUAACUUUGCAAGACAUGGCAAUGGUAGGAGAAUACAAAGAUCAUAAAGGAGUACCUCACCAUGAAAGCCAGAUUUAACAAGCAAUCAUUUUGGCAGCAGUGCCCAUAGCAACACCGACUGGUACAAGGAAGACUGCAACAAUACUGCAGGCUUCUACCACGAGAGAGGCAAUUGAAUCAACAGUUUACGCUGGCUCAGCAGUGCAGUCUGUUGUCACUUCUCUCCAAACAGGGCUAAACAGUGCUACUGCCAAGCAUCCAAUCAGGAUGAGUGCUGGAUUACAAUCACUGCAUAUAUUCAAAGUUAUUGUACAGUCUAAAGGAAAAGAGAAGGGAACAACUUACCAGUCAAAACCCUCCACUUUUGGGUCAUUGGAAAGGGCACUAAACACAGUACAGCAUGAAUAAGAGCACAGAUUAAGAAUCUAUCUCCUAAUGUGAACAAGUCUGUAGAGAAAACUGCUUUUUUACAAGUGCCACUGUAUGAUCUCUUCAAAGUAAAACUUAUAGUUAUUCACCUCAUGCCAGCUGGCAAAAAAUAUAUAUAUUUUCCAAAAGAGAAACAAGUCAUUUGUAUGCUGACACAGGUGUAGAAGCUCAUACCCCUAAGAAGAAAAACCUUUGAAGCCAAGGUCAGAAAUGGGAAUCUUAUGGCAGAUAACAAACGUGGUUGUAGUGUUAUUUGGAUUUCACAAAAUACUGGAAACCUAUUGUUUGUUUGAAAUCUACCUUUAAAUGGCUAUUGAUUCCCUCCACUCAAGGUUUCAAACACCUCCCUAACAAAAGCAUUCAACGUAGCAGUACAAAGAACUGCAGGUUGUAAUUUGUCAUGAGGACUGCAUCCCUCAAUGAAAACUUCCUGCAUGUCUAUUGGAAGAUUAGCCUAUCGAAUCCAAUGCAGUUUUGAAAGGUAAGCAUUUAAACAUGACUAAUACCAAUAGAAUUUAUUACUCACAGGCUGGAGAAUAGAAUAGAAUAAUGUAUCUAUUGUAAAUGGAGCACCAACUGCAGCACAUUCAGAAAAACAUCAUUUGGAAUCUGACUGCUGGAUUGUGAGCUUUCCAAAUGUAAAGCUAACAGAAAAAAGGAAGUCACUCUGGGGCGGUAUGUGAUUUUUAGGUUACAGUGACUACCAGAGGGCUAGUUCAGAAAGGAUAAAUGGCUGAUUUCCCACUGUUCUCCAAUGCUAAUCUUGCAACCUUGGUUUACUACUGUGACCUUGCUAUAACUCUCCUGUUUCAAAGUGGCCAUGAAGCUUUUAUUUUAUCUGGGUACUUAGAUGGUGCUUGUCACCAGGGUAUCUGAGUACUUCAAAGUCAUUAAUGGAAUUUUAUCCUCAUAGCACCCUAGCAAGACAGGGAAAUGUCCUCCUCACUUUACAGAUGAAACACAGAGAGGUAAGAAAAAUUAAAUAACUUGCCCGCUGUCACACAGAUUAUUUGUGGCUGAACCAGGACUCAGUCAGAGUCCCCUCCACUGAAACCCCUUUUCCCCUAGGUUCUGCUAUAGUAGGCAACCACUGAUCCUUCAGAUCUUGGUGUACAUGUAGAAGGUCUAGUCAGGUGCCUGAUGAAUCCAUUUGUGGC